AUUUGCAAUGUUUUCUGUUUAGAUAUUUUAUCUCAAAGCCAGAGACGCCGUCUUUGGCACAAACCCUUGCCCUCUCCGGACCUUCUCUGAAGAGAAAAUAGAGAAGAUCAAGAAGAGAGAGAGUAUAAGAGAAUCGUAGAUAGUGAGUGAUGGACUCGGAUCAAGGGAAGCUGUUUAUUGGCGGGAUAUCAUGGGAUACAUCAGAAGAUAAGCUGAAGGAGUAUUUUAGCAAGUAUGGAGAGGUUGUGCAGACCGUCAUCAUGCGUGAUAAGGUCACAGGGAGGCCUAGAGGUUUUGGGUUUGUUGUGUUCGCAGAUCCUUCCAUUCUCGAUAGGGUUCUUCAGGAUAAGCACACCAUCGAUGGAAGAACGGUGGAAGCUAAACGGGCUUUAUCAAGAGAGGAACAGCAGACCUCUUCUAGAUCUGGAAAUCCUAAUGCAGGCAGAAGCGUUGGAGGUGCUGGGAAUGUUAGGACCAAGAAGAUAUUUGUAGGAGGGUUGCCUCCCACAUUGACGGAAGAAGGUUUCCGUCAGUAUUUUGAGACCUAUGGUCAUGUAACUGAUGUAGUAGUUAUGUACGACCAGACUACACAGCGACCUCGUGGGUUUGGAUUUAUUUCCUUUGAUACUGAGGAGGCAGUUGAUAGAGUCCUACAUAAGACUUUCCAUGAGUUGAAUGGUAAACUUGUUGAGGUUAAGCGUGCCCUUCCAAAAGAUGCAAACCCUGGUGGUGGCAACCGGCAAAUGGGAGGUGGGAGUUUUCAGGGUUACGGUGGUUCUGGUCCCAAUACAAAUACAUAUGAUGGCCGAAUGGAAGCCACUAGGUAUAUGCAGCCUCAAACUGCUGGAGGUGGUUUUCCAGCAUAUGGUUCUUCUGGCUAUGGAGCACCUGGUUAUGGUUAUGGUGCAGCAGGUAAUGGUGUUGGCUAUGGUGGCUAUGGUGUUGGCUAUGGUGGUGCCAGUGCCGGGUAUGCUGGCGCUGCUGGGGCCUAUGGGAACCCGAAUGCCCCAAAUGCUGGUUAUGUAAGUGGCCCACCUGGUGCCCCUAGAAGCCCAUGGAGCAAUCAAGCUCCUUCAGGAUAUGGUUCUGCAGGCUAUGGUGCAAAUGCAGGUUAUGGGGCUGCGGCUCCUUGGAAUGCUCCAGGUGUUGGUGGUGCUACAGGUACUGGUAAUUCUGUUUCUGCACCAACAGGUCAGUCUCCAAGUGGGGCUCCCAGCUAUGGGAAUCAGGGUUAUGGGUAUGGUGGUUAUACUGGGGCUGAUGGAUCUUAUGCUAAUCCAGGUGGCUAUGGUGUGGUUGGAGGACGUUCAAGUGGUGCCCCAAAUAGCAUUGCUGGUGCUGGUGGGGAACAACAGGGAACAGGUGGUGGCUACAUGGGAAGUGGCUAUGGUGAUGCUAAUGGGAAUCCAGGGUAUCCAAAUGCAGCCUGGAGGUCUGAUGCCUCUCAGGCAGGAAGUUAUGGGGCUGCCCAAGCAAAUGGACCUCCAAGUGGACAAGUGGGUUAUGGUGGUGGGUAUGGCAGUGCUCAGUCCAGGCAGGCCCAACAGCAGUAAUCCAGAUGGUGCCAACUGUGUAUCAUUAAUCUCUAUGUGAACUGUCUAUCGACUUCUGCAGUCUUGUUGCUUUCUCAUUGCCCAGGAGUGAUGUUUCUUGCAGGACGACAGCGGAUUUUGUGACUGGAGGAGAGAGAUGCCCGUGUUCUAAAUUGGAAUCAGAAUUCUUUCCUGGUGGGCGCUCUCAAAGUUUUUUAAUGGGGGUGUGUCAUGUGUGGCGUGGAAAGGCAGGUAACGUGGGUUUGCUCGAUUGACCUGAUGCAUUCAACAAGCAAGACAGGGGAGGGGCCCAUUCAGGCAAACAAUGUUGAUCUUCGGAAGCCUUCGCAAUUCAUACCAUGAAAUCCUAAUCAAUCUUCAAUGCAGGUUGUGAUCCCAGCCAGUGCUGACUCUUGAAUUUAAGCAACUGGUGGUAUGUUGAUUCACUAGGUAGUUUGCCAUAUGUUUCCUUUUGUCAUUUGGACAAGGCCUUGAUUUUCUUGUCUCUGAAAUGUUUCUUUUUACAAACACCUCAAAGUCAUGGCUGAACAAUUUUCAGUGCAGUUCAAAGGUGUCUUUUGGGGGGUAA
This is an RNA transcript of Nelumbo nucifera (sacred lotus), 2121 nucleotides long. It is a transcript of the gene named heterogeneous nuclear ribonucleoprotein 1-like, with no coding region annotated. Lineage: Eukaryota; Viridiplantae; Streptophyta; Magnoliopsida; Proteales; Nelumbonaceae. The record is from RefSeq and is a predicted model, not a curated record.